AGACCCACCUGAACAUGGCAUCACUCGCAGUGUGUCACUCUGCUUUGUCAUGGCCUCUUUGUUCCCUGUCCCUUCCCAACAGAGAGGGCCUAGAAGGCAAAGGCGGGUCCUUCUCAUCCUUGCUCCUCGCACAGAGUUGUUGCUCAACAGUAUCAACCAGAGGAGUGAUGGAGUCAGGGCGAGGACCUGGCAUCUUCCACUGUGUCCCACAGGCUUCUUUGUUGGUGGAGUGAACUUAUUCAUGCUCUUUGAACUUCAAGAUGGAAAAAUCAAAGUCAGAAUCCAUAAGUUUCCCAAGAGCUCCUGA
RNAcentral lists this long non-coding RNA (307 nucleotides) under Mustela putorius furo (domestic ferret). RNAcentral describes it as "lncRNA (ENSMPUG00000031145.1)". Lineage: Eukaryota; Metazoa; Chordata; Mammalia; Carnivora; Mustelidae. The record is from RNAcentral.